GUGGGGAAUAUUGCACAAUGGGGGAAACCCUGAUGCAGCGACGCCGCGUGAGUGAAGAAGUUAUUCGUAAUGUAAAGCUCUAUCAGCAGGGAAGAUAAUGACGGUACCUGACUAAGAAGCCCCGGCUAACUACGUGCCAGCAGCCGCGGUAAUACGUAGGGGGCAAGCGUUAUCCGGAUUUACUGGGUGUAAAGGGAGCGUAGGUGGCAGGGCAAGUCAGAUGUGAAAACCCGGGGCCCAACCCCGGGAGUGCAUUUGAAACUGUCCGGCUGGAGUGCAGGAGAGGUAAGCGGAAUUCCUAGUGUAGCGGUGAAAUGCAUAGAUAUUAGGAGGAACACCAGUGGCGAAGGCGGCUUACUGGACUGUAACUGACACUGAGGCUCGAAAGCGUGGGGAGCAAACAGGA
Molecule: ribosomal RNA, 406 nt
Filed under: uncultured bacterium
Lineage: Bacteria
Description: bacterial SSU rRNA
Rfam family: Bacterial small subunit ribosomal RNA
Source: RNAcentral